CCCGGUGGCCAUGGCGGAGGGGUCCCACCCGUUCCCAUGCCGAACACGGAAGUGAAAACCUCCAGCGCCUAGGGUACUGUGGGGGCCACCCCACGGGAGAGCGGGUCGCCGCCGGGA
RNAcentral lists this ribosomal RNA (117 nucleotides) under Bacillota bacterium. Lineage: Bacteria; Bacillati; Bacillota. The record is from RNAcentral. RNAcentral also lists the same sequence under 1 other name.